CAAAUACUAUUGUCUCAAUUUUGUAAAAAAAUGAAGCUCUUAGAGAUGUUAAGUGAUUGGCCAAAUCACUGUCAGGUAAAUGAGGGUGUUGGGUUUUGAUCUCUGGCCUGUCACUAGACAUCAUGACAGUAUCAGCAGACUGUCUCUCGAAGGCAUAGGACUGUCUCCUCUCUGUUGAUUUUGCCCUGCACGGGACGGCCUCCUACUUACGCUGUAAACAACUGCAUUUUAGUCUUUAGCCUUGUUAGAUCUCAUUGUCAGAAAAAUAAAUAAAGGCAAGAGGAGCCUGGGCUGGCGGUCGGGAUCUCUUCCCUCCCUCCGCGCCCGCCCUCCCUCUGUCCUUAAGGAAAUGCUACCAGACACCCCCCACCAGACACGCUCAGCCUUGGCGAGGAGCGGCCG
Molecule: small RNA, 402 nt
Filed under: Pan troglodytes (chimpanzee)
Lineage: Eukaryota; Metazoa; Chordata; Mammalia; Primates; Hominidae
Description: processed transcript
Source: RNAcentral